Molecule: ribosomal RNA, 227 nt
Filed under: uncultured bacterium
Lineage: Bacteria
Description: partial 16S ribosomal RNA
Rfam family: Bacterial small subunit ribosomal RNA
Source: RNAcentral
UACGAAGGGGGCUAGCGUUGCUCGGAAUUACUGGGCGUAAAGGGCGCGUAGGCGGGUCGUUAAGUAGGGGGUGAAAGCCCAGGGCUCAACCCUGGAAUUGCCUUCUAAACUGGCGACCUUGAGUAUGGCAGAGGUGUGUGGAACUCCGAGUGUAGAGGUGAAAUUCGUAGAUAUUCGGAAGAAACACCAGUGGCGAAGGCGACACACUGGGCCAUUACUGACGCGUG